RNA transcript from Triticum dicoccoides, 630 nucleotides. RefSeq lists it as uncharacterized. NCBI's taxonomy places the organism in Eukaryota, Viridiplantae, Streptophyta, Magnoliopsida, Poales, Poaceae. The record is from RefSeq and is a predicted model, not a curated record. The transcript is spliced from 3 exons.
UGUAAAAGAAAAACCGCUGCCCGCACGACCCACGACCACGACCUCGACCUCUCGCCCGCCAUCCAUCUCCCAGCCACCCGAGUGCCGCCCCUCCCGGUCACAACCGCUCGCCCGUCCGCCGCCGCCCCCGUCCGCCCGCUGGCUGCCGCUGCCGCCCGUCCGCCGUCGCCCCCGUCCGCCCCCUGGCUACCGCUGCCACCCCUCCCUGCCUCGCCGGCUCUCCGCUGCCCGAGUGAAAGAACUGGACGGCUCGUGCGGAGAAAAAGAGAGGGAAGCAGGGAGAGAGAGGGAGAGGGAGCAGAGAACAGAGCACAAAGAUGAUAGAUUCGGGUUGCCGCUGGAAGUUGCUGCUGUGUAUUGUGAGCGCGUGCUCGCUGGUGAAGCUGCUGCUGCUUGUGAGUACUCAAUGGCGGAGCUGUCACUGCUGUGUGAGGCGCAUUUAUGCACCUUCUCACAUUUGAAUGGUGACAAUUUGUACUAGGAUGGGAGGUAUUGGAUCUGAGUAUGUGAAGGAGGAGCAAGAUGGAAUUGACAAGGCAAGAAUUGUUUUCCUUUUAAUUCGGAUUCGUGUUGCCUGACUGAUGAAGAGUGAACUUUGUAUGAGACUGACGAAAGGGUUGUUUCCGCGCC